AACGAACGCUGGCGGCAGGCCUAACACAUGCAAGUCGAGCGAGGACUUCGGUUCUAGCGGCGGACGGGUGAGUAACGCGUGGGAAUGUGCCCUUCUCUACGGAAUAGCCCUGGGAAACUGGGAGUAAUACCGUAUACGCCCUAUUGGGGAAAGAUUUAUCGGAGAAGGAUCAGCCCGCGUUGGAUUAGGUAGUUGGUGGGGUAAUGGCCUACCAAGCCGACGAUCCAUAGCUGGUUUGAGAGGAUGAUCAGCCACACUGGGACUGAGACACGGCCCAGACUCCUACGGGAGGGAGGCAGGGGGGAUCUUAGAACAUGGGGGCAACCCUGAAUGCGCCAUGGCGGGUGAGUGAUGAAGGCCUUAGGGUUGUAAAGCUCUUUCAGCUGGGAAGAUAAUGACGGUACCAGAAGAAGAAGCCCCGGCUAACUACGUG
RNAcentral lists this ribosomal RNA (433 nucleotides) under uncultured bacterium. Its description in RNAcentral is "partial 16S ribosomal RNA". It matches the Rfam family "Bacterial small subunit ribosomal RNA", at positions 29 to 507 of the family's 1533-position model. The record is from RNAcentral.